AGCGAACGUUUGCGGCGGGCCUAACACAUGCAAGUCGAACGCACUAGCAAUAGUGAGUGGCGCACGGGUGCGUAACACGUGGGUAAUCAACCCUUCAGCUUGGGAUAACGACUUGAAAGGGUCGCUAAUACCGGAUACGGCGAGAGAGGCUUCGGCAUUUCUCGAGAAAGCCUCGCAAGGGGCACUGAAGGACGAGCCUGCGGCCCAUCAGCUAGUUGGUGAGGUAAGAGCUCACCAAGGCGAAGACGGGUAGCUGGUCUGAGAGGAUGAUCAGCCACACUGGAACUGAGACACGGUCCAGACUCCUACGGGAGGCAGCAGUGGGGAAUAUUGCGCAAUGGGCGAAAGCCUGACGCAGCCACGCCGCGUGAGCGAUGAAGGCCUUCGGGUCGUAAAGGCUCUGUGGGGAGAGACGAAGAAAGCCCGUGAAGAGCGGGCCUUGACGGUAUCUCCUUAGCAAGCACCGGCUAACUCCGUGCCAGCAGCCGCGGU
RNAcentral lists this ribosomal RNA (492 nucleotides) under uncultured bacterium. RNAcentral describes it as "bacterial SSU rRNA". It matches the Rfam family "Bacterial small subunit ribosomal RNA", at positions 29 to 521 of the family's 1533-position model. The record is from RNAcentral.